Molecule: ribosomal RNA, 262 nt
Filed under: uncultured bacterium
Lineage: Bacteria
Description: partial 16S ribosomal RNA
Rfam family: Bacterial small subunit ribosomal RNA
Source: RNAcentral
AAAGCUUGCUUUCUUUGCUGGCGACCGGCGCACGGGUGAGUAACACGUAUCCAACCUGCCCUUUACUCGGGGAUAGCCUUUCGAAAGAAAGAUUAAUAUCCGAUAGUAUAUUAAAACCGCAUGGUUUUACUAUUAAAGAAUUUCGGUUAUCGAUGGGGAUGCGUUCCAUUAGUUUGUUGGCGGGGUAACGGCCCACCAAGACUACGAUGGAUAGGGGUUCUGAGAGGAAGGUCCCCCACAUUGGAACUGAGACACGGUCCAA